This 483-nucleotide ribosomal RNA is filed under the name uncultured bacterium. RNAcentral's name for it is "partial 16S ribosomal RNA". It matches the Rfam family "Bacterial small subunit ribosomal RNA", at positions 28 to 507 of the family's 1533-position model. The record is from RNAcentral.
GACGAACGCUGGCGGCGUGCUUAACACAUGCAAGUCGAACGCUGAAGCUCAGCUUUUGUUGGGUGGAUGAGUGGCGAACGGGUGAGUAACACGUGAGUAACCUGCCUCCUUCUUUGGGAUAACGCCCGGAAACGGGUGCUAAUACUGGUUAUUCACUGGUCUUCGCAUGGGGGUUGGUGGAAAGGGUUUUUCUGGUGGGGGAUGGGCUCGCGGCCUAUCAGCUUGUUGGUGGGGUGAUGGCCUACCAAGGCUUUGACGGGUAGCCGGCCUGAGAGGGUGACCGGUCACAUUGGGACUGAGAUACGGCCCAGACUCCUACGGGAGGCAGCAGUGGGGAAUAUUGCACAAUGGGCGCAAGCCUGAUGCAGCGACGCCGCGUGAGGGAUGGAGGCCUUCGGGUUGUGAACCUCUUUCGCUCAUGGUCAAGCCGCAACAAUGGUUGUGGUGAGGGUAGUGGGUAAAGAAGCGCCGGCUAACUACGUG